This 2595-nucleotide long non-coding RNA is filed under the name Ursus maritimus (polar bear). Its description in RNAcentral is "lncRNA (ENSUMAG00000007698.1)". Lineage: Eukaryota; Metazoa; Chordata; Mammalia; Carnivora; Ursidae. The record is from RNAcentral.
GUCCCCACGGGAAGUCUCAGUGUUCAAGGACCUGUAACUCAGUCCAGGCAGGCCCUAAGGGGGCCCUGGGAUGCCCUGGUGACUUUCCCUUCCUGCAGUUCCUUUAGGGGCCCUACAAUCCCGAUGCUUUAGCAAAUGGCGUGCUGGGUUGUGCAUCCUUGGGUAGAAAUAUUGCUGAUGGCCGAGCUCGGCCUCUGCUCAUUUUCCACGCUCCCCACUAUACUUCAGAUAGCAUUGGUCAUAACAGAGCUGAUCUAGAGGACAGAAGCUGAUGCAGAGUUGAACCCAAGGCCUCUGGGGUAAGCGAGGGAGCCUCGAGGCGCCUCUGGAAGCAGGAGGGAAACAGCCAUGGGGCAGUUUUCCAGGCUGGUCCAGACUUUUGGAAUUCUGGUGUCUCCAGGACGUUCCCAGCGCCUGCUCCGGGACAACAGACUCGAAGGGUACCUGAGGCCCUGGCUGGUUGGGGCCUAAGUGGUGCGCUGCUUGGGAGACACAUUUGGGAAGGGAGCCAAGGGACCCCUUGCUGAAAAGGGGAAAAUAUGCAGCCUCCCCACUCGCCUGGGAGAAGCCCUGCCUCAGUUUCCCUCUGCCAAGGCACAAGUGGUGGCACAGCACGUGGCUGGGUCUGCAGGUGCGUCAGCCCACCUGGAUCACCACGCUCCUGUAAUUAUGGAGAACACCCCCCCCCCCCUUCCUGGGGCUCCAGCCAGCACAGAGCCAGCUCAUAAAGGCGCCCCAGGUCUCCGGGACUGAGGAGUCGUUGUGGAAACUACCUCUUAGCACAGAAGUAAUUUAGCGGAGAGCUUGACCACGGGGCAGCCAUUUUACCAGCAGGAUCUGCAAAUGACUUUGAGCUCCUCAGAAGGCAGGAGCUGAGUAAAUUCCAGGCAUUAUGGAUGAUUAAGAGAACAAUUCCACUCUGGAAAGACUAGCUCAGAGCUGCAGGGCAGGACGGGGAGGAGGCUGGGAUGGCGGGGCGGCAGGCCACGGGAGUCAUCUUCCUUGAAGAUCUGCAGAGGUCAACGCCCUAUGUCGGCGAGGAGAAACCCAGCUGAAGCCUGCACCCUGUAACUGCUGCUCCCCGUUUGCCUGGGCCAGGUAUUGAAGCGGAGUCUCGGGCACACAUGACCCCAGGACCGAAGAAGAUGGAGGUGGCUGUGUCUUUGGAGGAGAUCUGGCCCCAAGUCACAGCUGUGUGACGGUGUCUGGGGACGGCCAGGGUAUUUGAGCUGGGCACUCGUAGAGGAUUCUGCUUCCUGACACUUCCUUCCCGUUAAGAAACGGACUCCUGUGCUUUCAGUUUGCUUCUGGGUGAUACUAGUUGAGCACAUUUUCAUAUGUUUAUUGGCCAUCUCGGUAUCUUCUUUUGGGAAAUGCCCAAUCAGUUGGGUUGUCAAACUAUUCUGAAAAAGUGAUCUGUAAUUUUUAGUGUAUUUGGAUGGAUAUAUCGAAGUUUUUUGUGCAGUGACUGUGUUAUAAGUAUCUUCUCCUGCCCUGGGCCACCCUGAUUAUGAUUUUUGAGGAACAGAAGUUCUUGAUUUCAAUGUAGUACAAUCGAUUCAUACAUCCUAUUUAAACAUGUUUGCCAAGCCCAGGUCAUGAGUAUAUUCUUGUGUGACUUUCUGGAAGCUGUGUCAUUUUGCUUUUCAUAUUAAGACCAAUAAUCCAUGAGACACCAGUGUACACCACAGAAAUGUCUACAAUUAAAGACCCACAACACCCAGUGUCGGUGAAACGGGACAGCUCACACGCUGACAAUACGUCCCUAAAACCUGCACACACGCACCGACAGCAGGUUCACCGCUACACGUAAUCCUGAGACAAACAUGCACGAAAGGGCCCGAACAAGAGUGUGAAUGGCAGCGCUGUCUGUGUCAGCCCACAUGUCCACCAACAGUGACAGGUACCCACAGUGGGGUUCUUUGAUACUGUUAUUUACACAGGAAUGGAAAAACUGCUACACACGACGAUGUGAAUGAGUCUCAGACACAAUUAGGGUGUGUACUGUAAACCUGCAUUUCUGCCACGCUCAGAAGUCAGGCAGUCCUAAUCCAGGGCGUGAGCACGAGGGACUCUGGGGCGUCGGUAGUGUUCUGAAAAGUCUCUCUCUCCCUCUCUCUCUAUUUAUACCUAAAAGUUUUAUUUAUAUGACAGAGAGCACAAGCAGGGGGAGCAGCAGGCAGAGGGAGAGGGAGAGGCAGGCUCCCCACUGAGCGAGGAGCUGGAAGGUGGACUCGGUCCCAGGACCCUGGGAUCAUGACCUGAGCUGAAGACAGACACUUCACUGACUGAGCCACCAGAGGCCCUACAUAUAUAUAUAGGGGCCUGAGCAGAGGGAGAGGGAUAAGCAGACUCGUCGCUGAGCGCAGAGCCCAACGUGGGGUUCGAUCCUACCACCCUGAGAUCAUGACCUGGACCAGAGCCGAAAUCAGAUGCUCAAUUGACCGAGCCACCCGGGCGCCCCUAAGAGUCUAUGUUUUGAGACAGGAGCCUGUCUACUUCGUUCACUUUGUGAAGAUGCACUGAGCUACACAUUUGUGAUUUGUACUCUUUUCCGUAUACGUUGUACUUCAAUAAAUACCUUUCAUUAAAACA